This is a long non-coding RNA of Camelus dromedarius (Arabian camel), 821 nucleotides long. RefSeq lists it as uncharacterized. The record is from RefSeq and is a predicted model, not a curated record. Lineage: Eukaryota; Metazoa; Chordata; Mammalia; Artiodactyla; Camelidae. The transcript has 3 exons.
CCUAGGAUGGUUGACAAUUGUAGAAUACCUGAGUCUGAUAGGUACUUUGGCUUGCCUCACAGUCAUUUUUAGGCAGGUGGUACCUUUAAUUCAGGCCACACAAACAAAUGAUUUGGGACAUUGAACAUCAAGGGAGAGUUAGGUUUUUUAAAAAGAGGAAAGGGAGCUAAGAGUAAGGAGGAGAGUGCCUGUAGAUCCCAAAGGCUGGCUUAGAAAAAUCGACACCAUAAGUAGAGAUCUUAUCCUUUUUAAGCACAUGGAUGCAUGCCACUAGCAUGCUUUCUUUAAGAUAAUCAAAAUGUUUCUGUUAGAAUGUUUGUAAUAAAAAGCCAUAUGUAUCCUGUGUUAUUGCUGGUCCAGUUCUGGGGUAACACCUCAAAGAAUAAAGAGAGAAAGUACAAAAACUGAAGUGACUUUACAUGUAGGAAAACUUUUUUUGGCCAACAUUUCUCUUUAGAAUAUUAGAUUAUGGUUCUGGUAGAAUCAUCUCAGACUUGUUUUGAUUAUUUUAUUUCAGGGGAAUAUUGCAGUUUAAAAACGUCUCAUAUGGAAUUGAACCAAUGGAGGCUGUAUCAGGAUUCAUGCACAUGAUUUAUGAAGAAAAAAAUGAUGACAGUAAUAUUCCUCUGUUGUGGGAAAAUGACACUUACAGCUAUAGGAGGAACUCAGAGUAUCCUGUCAGAAAAGGUUCAGAAAGACCUCAGUAUUUCAAGUUAUUCCCCCAGUAUCUUGAGAUGUAUAUUGUUGUGGAUAAAAAUAUGUUUGAUUUCAUGGGCUCUGAUAUAAAAGCUGUAACACAGAAGGUUAUUCAGAUCAUUGGC